UCCAAUUAAUACUCAGAUUAAUCAACUAAUGUAGAUUCAUGAAUCAAUUAACAACAUAAUAUUCUCAAUUAGCAUUAAAAAGAAAAUAGGAAAGGAUUAGGGUUAUCACAUGGCAACGUUCCAGACUGCUCUCCUUCCUCACGCCAAACGCGACGGCGCCGCAAGAUCUCUCCGGCGAGACUCAGCGGAGCAUAUCUCUUCCCAUCGCUAUCGUAGACCACUCUCAACCUGUUAUCUUUGUUCAUCUCCGAUUCAACUCAGUUCCAUCUUAAACCAAUCAACCAGAGAUAAGCUACAAAUAUGAAGACGAGAAAUCCAGUUUCAACUUGUUUUAUGCGUCUUGAUGAUGCGAUGUUGUCGUUGUUGCAGAUGCCUAUUUGGAUGAUGCUUCGGAGAUUGUUGUUGUUUGCGAAGGUGAUGAUGAUUGAUGUGUUGUUGAACGAUGAUGAAGAAGAUCGAUGGAGUUACGAUGAAGAUUUUCUGAGUUUGUGAUUGAUAAUGAUUGAAGGUGAUGAAGAACAUGUAAUGGAGAUUGCAGAGAGAAUAUGCAGAGAAAUGAAGAUUCAAUGUUGACGAUUCCAGAUCGAAGAAAACAGUUAUCCUGAAGAGAAAUCGAAGAUGGCGUAAGGAAAUAUGCAGUGCGGUUCCCAGAGAGAACAAAGAGGAUUCUUGAGAUUGAAGGUUGAAGGAUCUUGCGAUGAUUGGAGAAGAUUGAAGAUUGGAAAAGUUUAUUACAAUUCGGUUAGAGGUUCCGUUUUUUUGUUAAGCCUUUUUGUUUCGGUUCGGUUUUUAUGCAGGGCUAUUUAGUGAACCGCAUAUCGAAUUGCAGAUGGCUUGAAUUGAAUACUUUUAGUGGACCUGAUUGAUAACUGUGGUAUGAAGAAGAAAAUAGCCAUGGCAAUUUGAACUUUGGAUAUUUAUAAUGAAUUUUGUGAUGUAGAUUGAACCUUUUGUAAUUGAACUUCGAAUUGUGAACCUUGAAUUGUGAUGUAAUAAUAGAGUUUUGAAUGACAUACUUGCACAUGUAGAAAUUGGACUUUUGUAAUGAAUUCUUGUAAAGAAAUCAUGAGUGAAGUUUGGUAUUGAAUUUUGAAUACAACCUAUGGAUAAGACUUUGAGUGAA
This is a long non-coding RNA of Vicia villosa (hairy vetch), 1123 nucleotides long. RefSeq lists it as uncharacterized. The record is from RefSeq and is a predicted model, not a curated record. Lineage: Eukaryota; Viridiplantae; Streptophyta; Magnoliopsida; Fabales; Fabaceae. The transcript has 2 exons.